AUUGAACGCUGGCGGCAGGCCUAACACAUGCAAGUCGAACGGUAACAGGAAGCAGCUUGCUGCUUUGCUGACGAGUGGCGGACGGGUGAGUAAUGUCUGGGAAACUGCCCGAUGGAGGGGGAUAACUACUGGAAACGGUAGCUAAUACCGCAUAACGUCGCAAGACCAAAGAGGGGGACCUUAGGGCCUCUUGCCAUCGGAUGUGCCCAGAUGGGAUUAGCUAGUAGGUGGGGUAACGGCUCACCUAGGCGACGAUCCCUAGCUGGUCUGAGAGGAUGACCAGCCACACUGGAACUGAGACACGGUCCAGACUCCUACGGGAGGCAGCAGUGGGGAAUAUUGCACAAUGGGCGCAAGCCUGAUGCAGCCAUGCCGCGUGUAUGAAGAAGGCCUUCGGGUUGUAAAGUACUUUCAGCGGGGAGGAAGGGAGUAAAGCUAAUACCUUUGCUCAUUGACGUUACCCGCAGAAGAAGCACCGGCUAACUCCGUG
Molecule: ribosomal RNA, 490 nt
Filed under: uncultured bacterium
Lineage: Bacteria
Description: partial 16S ribosomal RNA
Rfam family: Bacterial small subunit ribosomal RNA
Source: RNAcentral